UACGAGGGGGGCGAGCGUUGUUCGGAUUCAUUGGGCGUAAAGGGCGCGUAGGCGGCGGGGUAAGUCUGGUGUGAAAUCUCGGAGCUCAACUCCGAAAUUGCACUGGAUACUGCUCUGCUAGAGGGCUGGAGAGGAGAUCGGAAUUCACGGUGUAGCAGUGAAAUGCGUAGAUAUCGUGAGGAAGACCAGUGGCGAAGGCGGAUCUCUGGACAGCUCCUGACGCUGAGGCGCGAAGGCUAGGGGAGCAAACGGG
RNAcentral lists this ribosomal RNA (253 nucleotides) under uncultured bacterium. RNAcentral describes it as "partial 16S ribosomal RNA". It matches the Rfam family "Bacterial small subunit ribosomal RNA", at positions 524 to 776 of the family's 1533-position model. The record is from RNAcentral.